GAUUGGUGGUGCAGGUAGAGAGAACAGUUGUUUUUAUUUCUUUUCACUCUCACUUACAAAAUGUCCCUAUCUACUAUCUAGCGAAACCACAGCCAAGGGAACGGGCUUGGAAAAAUCAGCGGGGAAAGAAGACCCUGUUGAGCUGAC
RNAcentral lists this non-coding RNA (147 nucleotides) under Ixodes scapularis (black-legged tick). Its description in RNAcentral is "Eukaryotic large subunit ribosomal RNA". It matches the Rfam family "Eukaryotic large subunit ribosomal RNA", at positions 2121 to 2426 of the family's 3401-position model. Lineage: Eukaryota; Metazoa; Arthropoda; Arachnida; Ixodida; Ixodidae. The record is from Rfam by way of RNAcentral.